GAUGAACGCUGGCGGCGUGCCUAAUACAUGCAAGUCGAGCGAACGGACGAGAAGUUUGCUUCUCUGAUGUUAGCGGCGGACGGGUGAGUAACACGUGGAUAACCCACCUAUAAGACUGGGAUAACUUCGGGAAACCGGAGCUAAUACCGGAUAAUAUUUUGAACCGCAUGGUUCAAAAGUGAAAGACGGUCUUGCUGUCACUUAUAGAUGGAUCCGAGCUGCAUUAGCUAGUUGGUAAGGUAACGGCGUACCAAGGCAACGAUGCAUAGCCGACCUGAGAGGGUGAUCGGCCACACUGGAACUGAGACACGGUCCAGACUCCUACGGGAGGCAGCAGUAGGGAAGCUUCCGCAAUGGGCGAAAGCCUGACGGAGCAACGCCGCGUGAGUGAUGAAGGUCUUCGGAUCGUAAAACUCUGUUAUUAGGGAAGAACAUAUGUGUAAGUAACUGUGCACAUCUUGACGGUACCUAAUCAGAAAGCCACGGCUAACCACGUG
This 497-nucleotide ribosomal RNA is filed under the name uncultured bacterium. RNAcentral's name for it is "partial 16S ribosomal RNA". It matches the Rfam family "Bacterial small subunit ribosomal RNA", at positions 28 to 507 of the family's 1533-position model. The record is from RNAcentral.